CAGCCGCCGCGGUAAUACGUAGGUGGCAAGCGUUGUCCGGAAUUAUUGGGCGUAAAGCGCGCGCAGGUGGUUUAAUAAGUCUGAUGUGAAAGCCCCCGGCUCAACCGGGGAGGGUCAUUGGAAACUGGUUGACUUGAGUGCAGAAGAAGAGAGUGGAAUUCCAUGUGUAGCGGUGAAAUGCGUAGAUAUAUGGAGGAACACCAGUGGCGAAGGCGACUCUCUGGUCUGUAACUGACGCUGAGGCUCGAAAGCGCGGGUAGCAAACAGGAUUAGAUACCCCUGUAGUCCCUGUCUCUUAUAA
This 301-nucleotide ribosomal RNA is filed under the name uncultured bacterium. Its description in RNAcentral is "partial 16S ribosomal RNA". It matches the Rfam family "Bacterial small subunit ribosomal RNA", at positions 509 to 809 of the family's 1533-position model. The record is from RNAcentral.